CCUACGUGUGGCAGCAGUGGGGGAUAUUUCACAAUGGGGGAAACCCUGAUGCUGCGACGCCGCGUGGGUGCAGAAGUAUUUCGGUAUGUAAAGCUCUAUCAGCAUGGAAGACAAAAGAAGGUACCUGACUAAGAAGCCCCGGCUAACUACGGGCCAGCAGCCGCGGUAAUACGUUGGGGGCAAGCGUUGUCCGGAGUUACUUGGUGUAAAGGGAGCGUAGACGGCAAUACAAGUCGGAAGUGAAAGACCCGGGCUCAACCUGGGAAUUGCUUAGGAAACUGUAUGGCUGGAGUACUGGAGAGGGAAGCGGAAUGCCUGGUGUAGCGGUGAAAUGCGUAGAUAUUAGGAGGAACACUAGUGGCGAAGGCGGGUUACUGGACAGUAACUGACGCUGAGGCUCGAAAGCGUGGGGAGCAAACAGGAUUAGAUACCCGAGUAGUC
Molecule: ribosomal RNA, 441 nt
Filed under: uncultured bacterium
Lineage: Bacteria
Description: partial 16S ribosomal RNA
Rfam family: Bacterial small subunit ribosomal RNA
Source: RNAcentral